Molecule: ribosomal RNA, 1521 nt
Filed under: Salmonella enterica subsp. enterica serovar Heidelberg
Lineage: Bacteria; Pseudomonadati; Pseudomonadota; Gammaproteobacteria; Enterobacterales; Enterobacteriaceae
Also listed under: 2 other names
Description: bacterial SSU rRNA
Rfam family: Bacterial small subunit ribosomal RNA
Source: RNAcentral
AGAGUUUGAUCAUGGCUCAGAUUGAACGCUGGCGGCAGGCCUAACACAUGCAAGUCGAACGGUAACAGGAAGCAGCUUGCUGCUUUGCUGACGAGUGGCGGACGGGUGAGUAAUGUCUGGGAAACUGCCUGAUGGAGGGGGAUAACUACUGGAAACGGUGGCUAAUACCGCAUAACGUCGCAAGACCAAAGAGGGGGACCUUCGGGCCUCUUGCCAUCAGAUGUGCCCAGAUGGGAUUAGCUUGUUGGUGAGGUAACGGCUCACCAAGGCGACGAUCCCUAGCUGGUCUGAGAGGAUGACCAGCCACACUGGAACUGAGACACGGUCCAGACUCCUACGGGAGGCAGCAGUGGGGAAUAUUGCACAAUGGGCGCAAGCCUGAUGCAGCCAUGCCGCGUGUAUGAAGAAGGCCUUCGGGUUGUAAAGUACUUUCAGCGGGGAGGAAGGUGUUGUGGUUAAUAACCACAGCAAUUGACGUUACCCGCAGAAGAAGCACCGGCUAACUCCGUGCCAGCAGCCGCGGUAAUACGGAGGGUGCAAGCGUUAAUCGGAAUUACUGGGCGUAAAGCGCACGCAGGCGGUCUGUCAAGUCGGAUGUGAAAUCCCCGGGCUCAACCUGGGAACUGCAUUCGAAACUGGCAGGCUUGAGUCUUGUAGAGGGGGGUAGAAUUCCAGGUGUAGCGGUGAAAUGCGUAGAGAUCUGGAGGAAUACCGGUGGCGAAGGCGGCCCCCUGGACAAAGACUGACGCUCAGGUGCGAAAGCGUGGGGAGCAAACAGGAUUAGAUACCCUGGUAGUCCACGCCGUAAACGAUGUCUACUUGGAGGUUGUGCCCUUGAGGCGUGGCUUCCGGAGCUAACGCGUUAAGUAGACCGCCUGGGGAGUACGGCCGCAAGGUUAAAACUCAAAUGAAUUGACGGGGGCCCGCACAAGCGGUGGAGCAUGUGGUUUAAUUCGAUGCAACGCGAAGAACCUUACCUGGUCUUGACAUCCACGGAAGUUUUCAGAGAUGGAAUGUGCCUUCGGGAACCGUGAGACAGGUGCUGCAUGGCUGUCGUCAGCUCGUGUUGUGAAAUGUUGGGUUAAGUCCCGCAACGAGCGCAACCCUUAUCCUUUGUUGCCAGCGGUUAGGCCGGGAACUCAAAGGAGACUGCCAGUGAUAAACUGGAGGAAGGUGGGGAUGACGUCAAGUCAUCAUGGCCCUUACGACCAGGGCUACACACGUGCUACAAUGGCGCAUACAAAGAGAAGCGACCUCGCGAGAGCAAGCGGACCUCAUAAAGUGCGUCGUAGUCCGGAUUGGAGUCUGCAACUCGACUCCAUGAAGUCGGAAUCGCUAGUAAUCGUGGAUCAGAAUGCCACGGUGAAUACGUUCCCGGGCCUUGUACACACCGCCCGUCACACCAUGGGAGUGGGUUGCAAAAGAAGUAGGUAGCUUAACCUUCGGGAGGGCGCUUACCACUUUGUGAUUCAUGACUGGGGUGAAGUCGUAACAAGGUAACCGUAGGGGAACCUGCGGUUG